GCCAGCAGCUCCAUCCCCCUGCAGCUAACAGCUGGCAGCCCACUGGAGCCCAGCAGGCGUGAGCCUGAUCAGUACCUGGAUGGGAGACCUCCUGGGAAAAACUAAGGUUGCUGCUGGAA
Molecule: ribosomal RNA, 119 nt
Filed under: Lepisosteus oculatus (spotted gar)
Lineage: Eukaryota; Metazoa; Chordata; Actinopteri; Semionotiformes; Lepisosteidae
Source: RNAcentral